CCGACUCUGCCCGGAGAAGCUGG
This 23-nucleotide non-coding RNA is filed under the name Cricetulus griseus (Chinese hamster). Lineage: Eukaryota; Metazoa; Chordata; Mammalia; Rodentia; Cricetidae. The record is from RNAcentral.